RNAcentral lists this ribosomal RNA (1372 nucleotides) under uncultured bacterium. Its description in RNAcentral is "bacterial SSU rRNA". It matches the Rfam family "Bacterial small subunit ribosomal RNA", at positions 28 to 1381 of the family's 1533-position model. The record is from RNAcentral.
GAUGAACGCUGGCGGCGUGCCUAAUACAUGCAAGUCGAGCGAACGGACGAGAAGCUUGCUUCUCUGAUGUUAGCGGCGGACGGGUGAGUAACACGUGGAUAACCUACCUAUAAGACUGGGAUAACUUCGGGAAACCGGAGCUAAUACCGGAUGAUAUUUUGAACCGCAUGGUUCAAAAGUGAAAGACGGUCUUGCUGUCACUUAUAGAUGGAUCCGCGCUGCAUUAGCUAGUUGGUAAGGUAACGGCUUACCAAGGCAACGAUGCAUAGCCGACCUGAGAGGGUGAUCGGCCACACUGGAACUGAGACACGGUCCAGACUCCUACGGGAGGCAGCAGUAGGGAAUCUUCCGCAAUGGGCGAAAGCCUGACGGAGCAACGCCGCGUGAGUGAUGAAGGUCUUCGGAUCGUAAAACUCUGUUAUUAGGGAAGAACAUAUGUGUAAGUAACUGUGCACAUCUUGACGGUACCUAAUCAGAAAGCCACGGCUAACUACGUGCCAGCAGCCGCGGUAAUACGUAGGUGGCAAGCGUUAUCCGGAAUUAUUGGGCGUAAAGCGCGCGUAGGCGGUUUUUUAAGUCUGAUGUGAAAGCCCACGGCUCAACCGUGGAGGGUCAUUGGAAACUGGAAAACUUGAGUGCAGAAGAGGAAAGUGGAAUUCCAUGUGUAGCGGUGAAAUGCGCAGAGAUAUGGAGGAACACCAGUGGCGAAGGCGACUUUCUGGUCUGUAACUGACGCUGAUGUGCGAAAGCGUGGGGAUCAAACAGGAUUAGAUACCCUAGUAGUCCACGCCGUAAACGAUGAGUGCUAAGUGUUAGGGGGUUUCCGCCCCUUAGUGCUGCAGCUAACGCAUUAAGCACUCCGCCUGGGGAGUACGACCGCAAGGUUGAAACUCAAAGGAAUUGACGGGGACCCGCACAAGCGGUGGAGCAUGUGGUUUAAUUCGAAGCAACGCGAAGAACCUUACCAAAUCUUGACAUCCUUUGACAACUCUAGAGAUAGAGCCUUCCCCUUCGGGGGACAAAGUGACAGGUGGUGCAUGGUUGUCGUCAGCUCGUGUCGUGAGAUGUUGGGUUAAGUCCCGCAACGAGCGCAACCCUUAAGCUUAGUUGCCAUCAUUAAGUUGGGCACUCUAAGUUGACUGCCGGUGACAAACCGGAGGAAGGUGGGGAUGACGUCAAAUCAUCAUGCCCCUUAUGAUUUGGGCUACACACGUGCUACAAUGGACAAUACAAAGGGCAGCGAAACCGCGAGGUCAAGCAAAUCCCAUAAAGUUGUUCUCAGUUCGGAUUGUAGUCUGCAACUCGACUACAUGAAGCUGGAAUCGCUAGUAAUCGUAGAUCAGCAUGCUACGGUGAACACGUUCCCGGGUCU